This 266-nucleotide ribosomal RNA is filed under the name uncultured bacterium. Its description in RNAcentral is "partial 16S ribosomal RNA". It matches the Rfam family "Bacterial small subunit ribosomal RNA", at positions 793 to 1055 of the family's 1533-position model. The record is from RNAcentral.
GUCCACGCCCUAAACGAUGUACACUAGUUGUUGCUAUACUAGAUAUGGCAGUAAUGCAGUUAACACUUUAAGUGUACCGCCUGGGGAGUACGGUCGCAAGAUUAAAACUCAAAGGAAUAGACGGGGACCCGCACAAGCGGUGGAGCAUGUGGUUUAAUUCGACGAUACGCGAAAACCUUACCUGGCCUUGACAUAGUAAGAACUUUCUAGAGAUAGAUUGGUGCUAGCUUGCUAGAGCUUACAUACAGGUGCUGCACGGCUGUCGU